UGAGCAAUCUGCCCUUCUCUUCGGAAUAAGCGUGGGAAACCGCGUCUAAUGCCGAAUACGACCUCCUUUCGCAUGAUCGGAGGUGGAAAGCUCCGGCGGAGAAGGAUGAGCUCGCGGCCUAUCAGCUAGUUGGUGUGGGUAAUGGCCCACCAAGGCGACGACGGGUAGUCGGCCUGAGAGGGUGACCGGCCACACUGGGACUGAGACACGGCCCAGACCUCCGUACGGGAGGNAG
RNAcentral lists this ribosomal RNA (235 nucleotides) under uncultured bacterium. RNAcentral describes it as "partial 16S ribosomal RNA". It matches the Rfam family "Bacterial small subunit ribosomal RNA", at positions 118 to 351 of the family's 1533-position model. The record is from RNAcentral.